Molecule: ribosomal RNA, 1965 nt
Filed under: human gut metagenome
Description: bacterial LSU rRNA
Rfam family: Bacterial large subunit ribosomal RNA
Source: RNAcentral
UCAAGCUAAUAAGAGCACAGGGUGGAUGCCCAGGCACCAAACGCCGACGAAAGACGUGGCAAGCUGCGAAAAGUCACGGGGAACCGCAAGCAGGUAUUGAUCCGUGAACGUCUGAAUGGGGAAACCCGGCGGGUUAACAGCCCGUCACUAUUAACUGAAUCAAUAGGUUAAUAGGGGGAACGCGGGGAACUGAAACAUCUCAGUACCCGUAGGAAGAGAAAAUAAAGAAUGAUUUCCUAAGUAGCGGCGAGCGAACGGGAAAGAGGCCAAACCGAAGGGCUUGCUCUUCGGGGUUGUGGAUCAGCAAAAAGGACGGAAGACCUUAGCAGAAGAGGAUUGGAAAGUCCCGCCAGAGAGGGUAAAAGCCCCUUACGCGAAAAGGUCAAACGACGAGCUGACACCAGAGUACCGCAGGACACGAGAAAUCCGGUGGGAAGCCGGGAGGACCACCUCCCAAGCCUAAAUACGAAUUGGUGACCGAUAGCGCAUAGUACCGUGAGGGAAAGGUGAAAAGAACCCCGGGAGGGGAGUGAAAAAGAACCUGAAACCCUGUGUUUACAAGCAGUGAAAGUGCAAGAAAGGCACGAUCACGUACUUUUUGUAGAACGGACCGGCGAGUUACGUUAUGCAGCAAGGUUAAGAACUAAAGGUUCGGAGCCGAAGCGAAAGCGAGUCUGAAUAGGGCGAUAGUUGCAUGACGUAGACCCGAAACCGGGUGACCUAUCCAUGAGCAGGUUGAAGUGGAGGUAAAGCUCCAUGGAGGACCGAACCAGACGUCUGUUGAAAAAGGCGGGGAUGACUUGUGGAUAGGGGAGAAAUUCCAAUCGAACCCGGAGAUAGCUGGUUCUCCUCGAAAUAGCUUUAGGGCUAGCCUCAUGGAUCAUUGAUGGGGGUAGAGCACUGAAUGUGCGCGGGGGCCACAAAGCCUACCAAACGCUAUCAAACUACGAAUACCAUACAAUGCAGACCAUGGGAGUCAGUCCGCGAGAGAUAAGUUCCGCGGGCAAAAGGGGAACACCCCAGAUCAACCGCUAAGGUCCCCAAGUUCACGUUAAGUGGAGAAGGAUGUGGAAUUGCACAGACAACCAGGAUGUUGGCUCAGAAGCAGCCACACAUUUAAAGAGUGCGUAAUAGCUCACUGGUCGAGUGAUUGUGCGCCGAAGAUGUCCGGGGCUAAACGUGACACCGAAGCGAUGGGUGCAUCUGAAAGGAUGCGCGGUAGAGGAGCAAUGUGCAGAGGCAGAAGCCGUAUCGAGAGGCACGGUGGACACUGCACAAGAGAGAAUGCCGGUAUGAGUAGCGAGAGGCAUGCGAGAAACAUGCCCGUCGAAAGCCCAAGGUUUCCUGGGGAAGGUUCAUCCGCCCAGGGUAAGUCGGGGCCUAAGCCGAGGACGGAAGUCGUAGGCGAUGGACAGCAGGUGUAGAUUCCUGCACUACCGAUGGAAUGAAGCAGUGACACAGAAGGAUAACUCGAGCAGGGUGAUGGUCAACCCUGUGCAAGCAUCAAGGUUGGGUUGUAGUGAAGUACGCAACCCUACAAGCUGAGAUGUGAUGCGGACCGAAAUUUCAGUAGGGAAGCGAGUGAGUUCACGCUGGCGAGAAAAGCUGCUAGUACAUCCAAAGGUACCCGUACCGGAAACCGACGCAGGUGGGCGAGGAGAGAAUCCUGAGACGAACGGGAGAACCCUUGUUAAGGAACUCGGCAAAAUGACCCCGUAACUUCGGGAUAAGGGGUGCCUGCGAGAGCAGGCCGCAGAGAAUAGUCACAAGCGACUGUUUAGCAAAAACACAGGUAUCUGCGAAAGCGAGAGCUGACGUAUAGGUGCUGACACCUGCCCGGUGCUGGAAGGUUAAGGGAACAUGUUAGAGCAAUCGAAGCAUCGAACCGAAGCCCCAGUAAACGGCGGCCGUAACUAUAACGGUCCUAAGGUAGCGAAAUUCCUUGUCGGGUAAGUUCCGACCCGC